UUAAGUUAUUAAGGGCGCACGGUGGAUGCCUUGGCACUAGAAGCCGAUGAAGGACGUUACUAACGACGAUAUGCUUUGGGGAGCUGUAAGUAAGCUUUGAUCCAGAGAUUUCCGAAUGGGGAAACCCAGCAUGAGUUAUGUCAUGUUAUCGAUAUGUGAAUACAUAGCAUAUCAGAAGGCACACCCGGAGAACUGAAACAUCUUAGUACCCGGAGGAAGAGAAAGAAAAUUCGAUUCCCUUAGUAGCGGCGAGCGAAACGGGAAGAGCCCAAACCAACAAGCUUGCUUGUUGGGGUUGUAGGACACUCUAUACGGAGUUACAAAGGACGACAUUAGACGAAUCAUCUGGAAAGAUGAAUCAAAGAAGGUAAUAAUCCUGUAGUCGAAAAUGUUGUCUCUCUUGAGUGGAUCCUGAGUACGACGGAGCACGUGAAAUUCCGUCGGAAUCUGGGAGGACCAUCUCCUAAGGCUAAAUACUCUCUAGUGACCGAUAGUGAACCAGUACCGUGAGGGAAAGGUGAAAAGCACCCCGGAAGGGGAGUGAAACAGAACCUGAAACCGUGUGCUUACAAGUAGUCAGAGCCCGUUAAUGGGUGAUGGCGUGCCUUUUGUAGAAUGAACCGGCGAGUUACGAUUUGAUGCAAGGUUAAGCAGUAAAUGUGGAGCCGUAGCGAAAGCGAGUCUGAAUAGGGCGUUUAGUAUUUGGUCGUAGACCCGAAACCAGGUGAUCUACCCUUGGUCAGGUUGAAGUUCAGGUAACACUGAAUGGAGGACCGAACCGACUUACGUUGAAAAGUGAGCGGAUGAACUGAGGGUAGCGGAGAAAUUCCAAUCGAACCUGGAGAUAGCUGGUUCUCUCCGAAAUAGCUUUAGGGCUAGCCUCAAGUGAUGAUUAUUGGAGGUAGAGCACUGUUUGGACGAGGGGCCCCUCUCGGGUUACCGAAUUCAGACAAACUCCGAAUGCCAAUUAAUUUAACUUGGGAGUCAGAACAUGGGUGAUAAGGUCCGUGUUCGAAAGGGAAACAGCCCAGACCACCAGCUAAGGUCCCAAAAUAUAUGUUAAGUGGAAAAGGAUGUGGCGUUGCCCAGACAACUAGGAUGUUGGCUUAGAAGCAGCCAUCAUUUAAAGAGUGCGUAAUAGCUCACUAGUCGAGUGACACUGCGCCGAAAAUGUACCGGGGCUAAACAUAUUACCGAAGCUGUGGAUUGUCCUUUGGACAAUGGUAGGAGAGCGUUCUAAGGGCGUUGAAGCAUGAUCGUAAGGACAUGUGGAGCGCUUAGAAGUGAGAAUGCCGGUGUGAGUAGCGAAAGACGGGUGAGAAUCCCGUCCACCGAUUGACUAAGGUUUCCAGAGGAAGGCUCGUCCGCUCUGGGUUAGUCGGGUCCUAAGCUGAGGCCGACAGGCGUAGGCGAUGGAUAACAGGUUGAUAUUCCUGUACCACCUAUAAUCGUUUUAAUCGAUGGGGGGACGCAGUAGGAUAGGCGAAGCGUGCGAUUGGAUUGCACGUCUAAGCAGUAAGGCUGAGUAUUAGGCAAAUCCGGUACUCAUUAAGGCUGAGCUGUGAUGGGGAGAAGACAUUGUGUCUUCGAGUCGUUGAUUUCACACUGCCGAGAAAAGCCUCUAGAUAGAAAAUAGGUGCCCGUACCGCAAACCGACACAGGUAGUCAAGAUGAGAAUUCUAAGGUGAGCGAGCGAACUCUCGUUAAGGAACUCGGCAAAAUGACCCCGUAACUUCGGGAGAAGGGGUGCUCUUUAGGGUUAACGCCCAGAAGAGCCGCAGUGAAUAGGCCCAAGCGACUGUUUAUCAAAAACACAGGUCUCUGCUAAACCGUAAGGUGAUGUAUAGGGGCUGACGCCUGCCCGGUGCUGGAAGGUUAAGAGGAGUGGUUAGCUUCUGCGAAGCUACGAAUCGAAGCCCCAGUAAACGGCGGCCGUAACUAUAACGGUCCUAAGGUAGCGAAAUUCCUUGUCGGGUAAGUUCCGACCCGCACGAAAGGCGUAACGAUUUGGGCACUGUCUCAACGAGAGACUCGGUGAAAUCAUAGUACCUGUGAAGAUGCAGGUUACCCGCGACAGGACGGAAAGACCCCGUGGAGCUUUACUGUAGCCUGAUAUUGAAAUUCGGCACAGCUUGUACAGGAUAGGUAGGAGCCUUUGAAACGUGAGCGCUAGCUUACGUGGAGGCGCUGGUGGGAUACUACCCUAGCUGUGUUGGCUUUCUAACCCGCACCACUUAUCGUGGUGGGAGACAGUGUCAGGCGGGCAGUUUGACUGGGGCGGUCGCCUCCUAAAAGGUAACGGAGGCGCUCAAAGGUUCCCUCAGAAUGGUUGGAAAUCAUUCAUAGAGUGUAAAGGCAUAAGGGAGCUUGACUGCGAGACCUACAAGUCGAGCAGGGUCGAAAGACGGACUUAGUGAUCCGGUGGUUCCGCAUGGAAGGGCCAUCGCUCAACGGAUAAAAGCUACCCCGGGGAUAACAGGCUUAUCUCCCCCAAGAGUUCACAUCGACGGGGAGGUUUGGCACCUCGAUGUCGGCUCAUCGCAUCCUGGGGCUGUAGUCGGUCCCAAGGGUUGGGCUGUUCGCCCAUUAAAGCGGUACGCGAGCUGGGUUCAGAACGUCGUGAGACAGUUCGGUCCCUAUCCGUCGUGGGCGUAGGAAAUUUGAGAGGAGCUGUCCUUAGUACGAGAGGACCGGGAUGGACAUACCUCUGGUGUACCAGUUGUCGUGCCAACGGCAUAGCUGGGUAGCUAUGUGUGGACGGGAUAAGUGCUGAAAGCAUCUAAGCAUGAAGCCCCCCUCAAGAUGAGAUUUCCCAACUUCGGUUAUAAGAUCCCUCAAAGAUGAUGAGGUUAAUAGGUUCGAGGUGGAAGCAUGGUGACAUGUGGAGCUGACGAAUACUAAUCGAUCGAAGACUUAAUCUA
This 2921-nucleotide ribosomal RNA is filed under the name Staphylococcus aureus MSSA-123. RNAcentral describes it as "bacterial LSU rRNA". It matches the Rfam family "Bacterial large subunit ribosomal RNA". RNAcentral also lists the same sequence under 3 other names. Lineage: Bacteria; Bacillati; Bacillota; Bacilli; Caryophanales; Staphylococcaceae. The record is from RNAcentral.